Molecule: ribosomal RNA, 555 nt
Filed under: uncultured bacterium
Lineage: Bacteria
Description: bacterial SSU rRNA
Rfam family: Bacterial small subunit ribosomal RNA
Source: RNAcentral
UUGGACAAUGAACGAAAGUUCGAUCCAGCAAUAUCGCGUGAGUGAGGAAGGUCCUUUACCGUAAAGCUCUUUCAAUAACGUGAGAAAAUGACAAAAUGUUAUAAAAGAAACCCCGACUAACUUCGUGCCAGCAGUCGCGGUAAUACGGGGGGGGUUAGUGUUAUUCAUCGUUACUGGGUGUAAAGCGCGCGUGGACUGUUUAAAAAGUUUUAAUUAAAACAAUCUAAGCACAACUUAGAAAUUAAUUUCUAUACUUUUAAACUUGAGGUUGAAGGAAGAAAGCUAUACUUCUCAGAGAAAAGUGAAAUUUGUCCGAACUGAGGGGGAUAACCAGCAGGCGAAAGCGGCUUUCUAUGACAAUGCUGACGUUUUGGCGCAAAAGCUUGGGGAUCAAACGGGAUUAGAGACCCCGGUAGUCCAAGCCCUGACCUAUGAGUAUUAAGUGUUGGUUCUAUUUUUAAAGUUUAAAAACAAAUGAAUCGAUGCAUAAGCUAACGCGUAAAUACUCCACCUGGAUAGUACGGCCUCAAGGUUAAAACUCAAAGGAAUUGACGG